GAGUGAACGCUGGCGGUAGGCCUAACACAUGCAAGUCGAACGGCAGCACAGUAAGAGCUUGCUCUUACGGGUGGCGAGUGGCGGACGGGUGAGGAAUACAUCGGAAUCUACUUUUUCGUGGGGGAUAACGUAGGGAAACUUACGCUAAUACCGCAUACGACCUACGGGUGAAAGCAGGGGAUCUUCGGACCUUGCGCGAUUGAAUGAGCCGAUGUCGGAUUAGCUAGUUGGCGGGGUAAAGGCCCACCAAGGCGACGAUCCGUAGCUGGUCUGAGAGGAUGAUCAGCAACACUGGAACUGAGACACGGUCCAGACUCCUACGGGAGGCAGCAGUGGGGAAUAUUGGACAAAGGGCGCAAGCCUGAUCCAGCCAUACCGCGUGGGUGAAGAAGGCCUUCGGGUUGUAAAGCCCUUUUGUUGGGAAAGAAAAGCAGCAGGUUAAUACCCCGCUGUUCUGACGGUACCCAAAGAAUAAGCACCGGCUAACUUCGUG
Molecule: ribosomal RNA, 493 nt
Filed under: uncultured bacterium
Lineage: Bacteria
Description: partial 16S ribosomal RNA
Rfam family: Bacterial small subunit ribosomal RNA
Source: RNAcentral